GGCUAAUUAAAUAGCCAUGAUUUACAAAAUAUCCUCCUUAUUUCUCCAUCAAUGACACGCCAUUUCCUCCCCCAAAAUCUUCCCAAAUAUCUCAAUCAUUUAUUUCAAUUAUUCUCCCAAAUCUUCAAUUAAUUGUGGGAUAUUUCUUAAUCCUAUAAACAAAGGAUCAACCCCUAAACCUAACACACAAAUCACACGCCCACUUCUUCAAACCACACGCCCCACCCCCUUUUUCAUCUCUUCUCCCACUUGUUAUCCAUUUCACUCAAGAUCCUAUCAAUUUUCCAAGAGAUUGUUGAAGAACCAAGGUUUUAAUUGCUUCCUACCGAUUAUUUCGUCCAAGAAAAGGUGAAAUUUUGUGCGAGACGCGUGAUACCAAAGGAAAAGCGAAACUUGAAAACUAAAGGAUCGAAGUUGAGCGGCGACGGGCGGUUGGCGGUGUUGAGCAGGAACUAAUAAUGAACUGUGGUUGUUUUGGUUUUGAAAUUCCGAGUGUCGUUGUGUCUUCACACAUGACGUCACUCUUCUCUUGGAUGCUUCCGCUGUGAUAUUUUUCUUAGAAUACUUUUCAUUUAAAUUCUGAAACUAUUUUAUGAUGGGAUGUUUGAAACUCGUUACACUUUUUGAAUAAAUGCUAAACCCUAGUCUUUAUUCAUUAAA
Molecule: long non-coding RNA, 660 nt
Organism: Salvia splendens (bonfire salvia)
Lineage: Eukaryota; Viridiplantae; Streptophyta; Magnoliopsida; Lamiales; Lamiaceae
Exons: 3
Source: RefSeq, a predicted model, not a curated record